GGCUCUGUAGCUCAGUUGGUAGAGCGCACGACUGAAAAUCGUGAGGUCACCAGUUCAAUCCUGGUCGGAGCCA
Molecule: transfer RNA, 73 nt
Filed under: Microbacterium sp. Leaf320
Lineage: Bacteria; Bacillati; Actinomycetota; Actinomycetes; Micrococcales; Microbacteriaceae
Description: tRNA-Phe
Rfam family: tRNA
About the family: Transfer RNA (tRNA) molecules are approximately 80 nucleotides in length.
Source: RNAcentral